Molecule: ribosomal RNA, 252 nt
Filed under: uncultured bacterium
Lineage: Bacteria
Description: partial 16S ribosomal RNA
Rfam family: Bacterial small subunit ribosomal RNA
Source: RNAcentral
UACGGAGGAUGCGAGCGUUAUCCGGAUUUAUUGGGUUUAAGGGGUGCGUAGGCGGAUCGUUAAGUCAGUGGUCAAAUUGAGGGGCUCAACCCCUUCCCGCCAUUGAAACUGGCGAUCUUGAGUGGAAGAGAAGUAUGCGGAAUGCGUUGUGUAGCGGUGAAAUGCAUAGAUAUCACGAAGAACCCCGAUUGCGAAGGCAGCAUACCGGCUCCACACUGACGCUGAGGCACGAAAGCGUGGGUAUCGAACAGG